This 72-nucleotide transfer RNA is filed under the name Plasmopara halstedii. It matches the Rfam family "tRNA". Rfam says of the family: Transfer RNA (tRNA) molecules are approximately 80 nucleotides in length. Their secondary structure includes four short double-helical elements and three loops (D, anti-codon, and T loops). The record is from Rfam by way of RNAcentral. Lineage: Eukaryota; Oomycota; Peronosporomycetes; Peronosporales; Peronosporaceae.
GCCUGUGUGGCUCAGUGGUAGAACAUCUGUCUUGUAAACAGAUGGUCCCCGGUUCAAUCCCGGUCGGAGGAU